CCUACGGGCGGCAGCAGUGAGGAAUAUUGGUCAAUGGACGAGAGUCUGAACCAGCCAAGUAGCGUGAAGGAUGACUGCCCUAUGGGUUGUAAACUUCUUUUAUAUGGGAAUAAAAUGUUACACGUGUGGGAUUUUGUAUGUACCAUAUGAAUAAGGAUCGGCUAACUCCGUGCCAGCAGCCGCGGGAAUACGGAGAAUCCGAGCGUUAUCCGGAUUUAUUGGGUUUAAAGGGAGCGUAGGUGGAUUGUUAAGUCAGUUGUGAAAGUUUGCGGCUCAACCGUAAAAUUGCAGUUGAAACUGGCAGUCUUGAGUACAGUAGAGGUGGGCGGAAUUCGUGGUGUAGCGGUGAAAUGCUUAGAUAUCACGAAGAACUCCGAUUGCGAAGGCAGUUCACUGGACUGCAACUGACACUGAGGCUCGAAAGUGUGGGUAUCAAACAGGAUUAGAUACCCUUGUAGUC
RNAcentral lists this ribosomal RNA (460 nucleotides) under uncultured bacterium. Its description in RNAcentral is "partial 16S ribosomal RNA". It matches the Rfam family "Bacterial small subunit ribosomal RNA", at positions 338 to 795 of the family's 1533-position model. The record is from RNAcentral.